This 1074-nucleotide ribosomal RNA is filed under the name Rothia halotolerans. RNAcentral's name for it is "bacterial SSU rRNA". It matches the Rfam family "Bacterial small subunit ribosomal RNA", at positions 369 to 1451 of the family's 1533-position model. Lineage: Bacteria; Bacillati; Actinomycetota; Actinomycetes; Micrococcales; Micrococcaceae. The record is from RNAcentral.
CAAUGGGCGCAAGCCUGAUGCAGCGACGCCGCGUGAGGGAUGACGGCCUUCGGGUUGUAAACCUCUUUCAGCAGGGAAGAAGCGAAAGUGACGGUACCUGCAGAAGAAGCGCCGGCUAACUACGUGCCAGCAGCCGCGGUAAUACGUAGGGCGCAAGCGUUGUCCGGAAUUAUUGGGCGUAAAGAGCUCGUAGGCGGCUUGUCGCGUCUGCUGUGAAAGCCCGGGGCUUAACCCCGGGUGUGCAGUGGGUACGGGCAGGCUAGAGUGCAGUAGGGGAGACUGGAAUUCCUGGUGUAGCGGUGAAAUGCGCAGAUAUCAGGAGGAACACCGAUGGCGAAGGCAGGUCUCUGGGCUGUUACUGACGCUGAGGAGCGAAAGCAUGGGGAGCGAACAGGAUUAGAUACCCUGGUAGUCCAUGCCGUAAACGUUGGGCACUAGGUGUGGGGGACAUUCCACGUUUUCCGCGCCGUAGCUAACGCAUUAAGUGCCCCGCCUGGGGAGUACGGCCGCAAGGCUAAAACUCAAAGGAAUUGACGGGGGCCCGCACAAGCGGCGGAGCAUGCGGAUUAAUUCGAUGCAACGCGAAGAACCUUACCAAGGCUUGACAUACACCGGAUCGCAGCAGAGAUGUUGUUUCCCCUUUGGGGCUGGUGUACAGGUGGUGCAUGGUUGUCGUCAGCUCGUGUCGUGAGAUGUUGGGUUAAGUCCCGCAACGAGCGCAACCCUCGUUCUAUGUUGCCAGCACGUGAUGGUGGGGACUCAUAGGAGACUGCCGGGGUCAACUCGGAGGAAGGUGGGGAUGACGUCAAAUCAUCAUGCCCCUUAUGUCUUGGGCUUCACGCAUGCUACAAUGGCCGGUACAAUGGGUUGCGAUACUGUGAGGUGGAGCUAAUCCCAAAAAGCCGGUCUCAGUUCGGAUUGGGGUCUGCAACUCGACCCCAUGAAGUCGGAGUCGCUAGUAAUCGCAGAUCAGCAACGCUGCGGUGAAUACGUUCCCGGGCCUUGUACACACCGCCCGUCAAGUCACGAAAGUUGGUAACACCCGAAGCCGAUGGCCUAACCCUUGUGGAGGGA